RNAcentral lists this ribosomal RNA (200 nucleotides) under uncultured eukaryote. Its description in RNAcentral is "partial 18S ribosomal RNA". It matches the Rfam family "Eukaryotic small subunit ribosomal RNA", at positions 588 to 786 of the family's 1831-position model. The record is from RNAcentral.
GCUCCAAUAGCGUAUAUUAAUGUUGUUGCAGUUAAAAAGCUCGUAGUUGAAUUUCUGGACUCAUCUUUCGGUCCGAGGCCUUGUGCUUUGCGUACUGUUCUCGAUGGGUUCAUCUUAGUAGGGACCAUUCUGGUAUUAAGUUAUUGGGGUGUGGAACUGCUUCGUUUACUGUGAAUAAAAUAGAGUGUUUAAAGCAGGCA